CAUUCUGAUAGGAACAAGAUACACAGGCCUGUAGGAGCUCGGAACUGGAAAUUGCAGAGGAUUCUGCAUGGAAGGAACCCUCCAUGUGGAUUUCAAAAUUAUUCUGAACUCAGAAAAGACCAACACUGUCCUAAGAACGAUUCACAGCACCAACUUUUCUAAUGCCUCUAUUUGGGGGCUAUUAAUAAUUGGAAAGAACGUCUCUAUUCAUGGCCCAAAUCAUGGCUUUUUCCUUUCAAUGCUGAGUGAAGAGGAUACAACUUACUGCUGUUGAGAUCAGAAAUGAGUGAAAAAUAACUGGGACAGGAUAACUUAGUCCAUCAGGGGCCUCAGCAAGGACCCAGAGCAGGAGGCUGUAAACCAGUCAGACUCUGUAAUAAACAGGUGCUCACACCUACGGGGCCAAG
This 407-nucleotide long non-coding RNA is filed under the name Mustela putorius furo (domestic ferret). RNAcentral's name for it is "lncRNA (ENSMPUG00000030508.1)". Lineage: Eukaryota; Metazoa; Chordata; Mammalia; Carnivora; Mustelidae. The record is from RNAcentral.